RNAcentral lists this ribosomal RNA (492 nucleotides) under uncultured beta proteobacterium. Its description in RNAcentral is "bacterial SSU rRNA". It matches the Rfam family "Bacterial small subunit ribosomal RNA", at positions 83 to 571 of the family's 1533-position model. Lineage: Bacteria; Pseudomonadati; Pseudomonadota; Betaproteobacteria. The record is from RNAcentral.
CCCUGGUGGCGAGUGGCGAACGGGUGAGUAAUACAUCGGAACGUGCCCAGUCGUGGGGGAUAACGUAGCGAAAGUUACGCUAAUACCGCAUACGAUCUAUGGAUGAAAGCGGGGGACCGUAAGGCCUCGCGCGAUUGGAGCGGCCGAUGUCAGAUUAGGUAGUUGGUGGGGUAAAGGCCCACCAAGCCGACGAUCUGUAGCUGGUCUGAGAGGACGACCAGCCACACUGGGACUGAGACACGGCCCAGACUCCUACGGGAGGCAGCAGUGGGGAAUUUUGGACAAUGGGCGCAAGCCUGAUCCAGCCAUUCCGCGUGCAGGACGAAGGCCUUCGGGUUGUAAACUGCUUUUGUACGGAACGAAAAGGUCCUGGUUAAUACCCGGGGCUCAUGACGGUACCGUAAGAAUAAGCACCGGCUAACUACGUGCCAGCAGCCGCGGUAAUACGUAGGGUGCAAGCGUUAAUCGGAAUUACUGGGCGUAAAGCGUGCG